RNAcentral lists this long non-coding RNA (627 nucleotides) under Coffea arabica (coffee). RNAcentral describes it as "long non-coding RNA (CARA_LNC008081)". Lineage: Eukaryota; Viridiplantae; Streptophyta; Magnoliopsida; Gentianales; Rubiaceae. The record is from RNAcentral.
ACAAAAUGAGCACCUUGGGUCUAAUACAUUGAAAGAAUUCGAGUCAAAGCCUGGAUCCAUUCUCCUUUCCCACACAGAUGAGCCUGGAUCCAUUCACCCUUACCAUGGUCGUGAUGCUAAUUCAAAGGAGGAGAAACCACAAAUGAAAGAUUUUGAGUCAAAGCCUGAAUCCUUUUUAAUCCUUUACCGUGGUGACAAAGCUAACUUGCAAGAGGGAAAACCGCAUAUGAAAGAUUUCGAGUCAAAGCUAACUUGCAGGAGGGAAAACCGUAUAUGAAAGAUUUCGAGUCAAAGCCUGAAUCCAUUUUGAUCCUUUACCGUGGUGACAAAGCUAAUUUGCAGGAGGGAAAACUACAUAUGUAAGAUUUCGAAUCAAUGCUCCUUUACCAUAAGGGAACCAGCGAUGAUGCUAAGCAAAAUUAGGAUAAAUCAAACAUGAAAGAAUCAAAGUGAAGUGAAGGUCUGUGUCGCUGCUUUUGUAGCAUAGUCUUGAUGUUGAUUCCAAACAAGAGAAAUUCAAUUCGCUUGAGACUGGAUUUCUGCUCUGUCAAGAAUAAGUGUAGUUGGUCUUAUUUUCUUAGUGUUGAGUGAAAAUGUCUCGCGUGUAAUGCAAUUCCUCUAUUAAAU